GCCACUGUGGUAUAGUGGUUUGAGUGUUGGACUAUGGCUCUGAAGAACAGGGUUCGAAUCCUGGCUCAGUCA
Phrynosoma platyrhinos (Desert horned lizard) is the source of this 72-nucleotide non-coding RNA. NCBI's taxonomy places the organism in Eukaryota, Metazoa, Chordata, Lepidosauria, Squamata, Phrynosomatidae. The record is from the annotation of a GenBank genome assembly.